GGAGAAGACCUGCCCAGUGUUCCACCAGUUUCCCGUGCAGGUCCACAUCUCUCAUAGGAAGCUGCCACUUCAUGGCAAGGAGCUGGUCUGAGCACUGUGUCCUCCACUGGCUGAACUAGGAAAAGGUUUGCAUCCACGGGCAGCAUGGUUUGGCAUGGAAAAGCACAGAUGGGCUCAGAAACUGUCUCCAAGCUGCUCUUGACAAGGUAGGAGGCAUUCCCUUUAAGUUAACCAGGAAUGGAGGCUCACACUGCCUCUCUGGAAAUCAAGGCUUGAGGCCAAAAGCAAUCUCUGAUAUCUCAACAGAUGAAAAUAGAGCUUAAAAAAAUAAGAACGUGUCAUGGAAUUAAAUGAGAACCACAGAUUUAGCAGGUCUGGUGACUUCCCAAGAGAAGCUGAGGAGAAACGUAGAGAAAAGGCUUGUUUUUGAGACACAGUGAAAUGAAUUACUAGUCCCUUCUGUAAAAUCUGUUAAAGUCUUGACUGCUGGACGUUUACUUUCAAUGAAGUCAGCUUCCACUGCAGUCUGCUGAAGAGCCCUAACUUGACUGUGCAGAUGCAAUUACUGAAAAUGAAUCUGUCAGAGACAUAUCACGUAAACAAGGAGUCCUGUUUUGGCUCUCCUCCUGAAGCCAUCUUUGCCUCAGGGAUAACCUCAGCCAAUGCUUCACAAACCCAGUGGGAACAAGCAGCGCAGGCACAAAGCAGACUGACUAAGAAGGUUAGUGAAAC
This 732-nucleotide long non-coding RNA is filed under the name Gallus gallus (chicken). RNAcentral describes it as "long non-coding RNA NONGGAT004211". Lineage: Eukaryota; Metazoa; Chordata; Aves; Galliformes; Phasianidae. The record is from RNAcentral.